This 308-nucleotide ribosomal RNA is filed under the name uncultured Anoxybacillus sp. Its description in RNAcentral is "bacterial SSU rRNA". It matches the Rfam family "Bacterial small subunit ribosomal RNA", at positions 1072 to 1382 of the family's 1533-position model. Lineage: Bacteria; Bacillati; Bacillota; Bacilli; Caryophanales; Anoxybacillaceae. The record is from RNAcentral.
AGAUGUGGUUAAGUCCGCACGAGCGCAACCCUCGACCUUAGUUGCCAGCAUUCAGUUGGGCACUCUAAGGUGACUGCCGGCUAAAAGUCGGAGGAAGGUGGGGAGUGACGUCAAAUCAUCAUGCCCCUUAUGACCUGGGCUACACACGUGCUACAAUGGGCGGUACAAAGGGUCGCGAACCCGCGAGGGGGAGCCAAUCCCAAAAAGCCGCUCUCAGUUCGGAUUGCAGGCUGCAACUCGCCUGCAUGAAGCCGGAAUCGCUAGUAAUCGCGGAUCAGCAUGCCGCGGUGAAUACGUUCCCGGGCCUU